AUUAAAAUGCUGUACCUGUACGGGGUGACGUAAUUGGUCCUGUGACGCGCAUCUUUCGACUCGCCGAUCAGGUUUCAGCAUCGUCCCUGCGCCUUCGGAUGAUGAGACGCGUUUAAGUUUGGAACACGACCAAGCCUGGAAAGGACAACAGUCGCCAAUUAGUCACAGAAGAGUCGACGAGUAUACACGAUGGCCGGUCGCUUUCUUGCGAGAUAACGACAAGUUGAACGACACAGAAGCGCGGCGAGACCGGAUGUCGUCUCGCUCGCUUUGUUUCCUCUUGGGCGGGCAGAUCGAGGGAAAAGACAGGCGAGGACAUUGUCUGACGCGUAGCAAUGUCAAGGCCCGUCACUGACAUCUACCAGGGUGUUUUCUACGCGAGAGGAAACGCGGUGAAACAAGCGUACUAAUAAUAGAGAAUGCGAGAUCGAUCGGUUCAUCCGCGCGUGAAAAACGAUCAUUUUCGAUGAACGACGUGUCUUUGCACGAUAAUACAUCUGACUGCUCGACGCUUGAUUUGUUUCAUCGAGUUAUCUAUUGCGAUUACGCGAUCCGAUCAAAUUGAAUUAGAGGUUAGGUCGACGCCAUUAGGCGAAAGCGAACGUGUCACGCGAAUGAUUCGUAAAGAUCGUAAGGAAAUUGUUAGAAGUUUUUGCAAUGUUUGGAAACUAGAAUAGAAUGGAAUUGUAUGUAAAUUAGAAUUGUUUCCAUUUAAAAUAACGUGAUCAUAUCAUUAAAGUAUGAUUUUUGGAUACCUUCUUGAUUUGAAAAUAGUUGGAGAUGCAUUGAAAUUGGAUUAAUGGAGGAAUUUUGAUAAUAGUUGAAAUUAAAUGUUAAAAUUGACAAAGGAUUUGAGAAUAGUUGGAAUAUUGAAGAUCGACACAAAUAAAUAUAGUUGAAACGGAUUGGUCGCGCAUGCAGUUGAGCAAAAAAUCAAAUAAGAACCUUUCCCUGUAUUGUUCAGCCUGUAAGAAUUUCCAUGGGUUGAACCGAGCGAACCUUUCAAGAAGAGGUAUAUUCUCAGUUCGACCAAAAAUAUCCUAAUAUUUGAACAGUGAUAUCAUCGAUUGCAAAUAAUUACUGAAACACCGACAAACGAUGCAACGGAUACCAUUGUAUACUACACAUGUUUGUAUUUUAAUUUAAAGCGUUUUAUCCGGAUGAUGAAGAUGGAUCGAUUAUUUCUUGCACAAUUCAUAUGAGUAAAAACUAUCGUAUGCGACAAUCAAGAUCAAAUUAAUAAUUCUAUUUAAAAAAAUUUCAUAAGAAAGUCAAAGUUGAAAAUUCCAGAAUUGAAAAGAUCGCAAGAAUUCUGUAUAUUCAUGAUAUUUCUUAAGUAAGUAGUAAUCAAUUAGAAAUAUAUACGUACUUUUCCUUGUUAGAUCAGUCUCGAAUUACAUAAUAUCUAUAAUUGGCUAAUAAAAAAUAUUCUAUGCAUCCGCAUU
Molecule: long non-coding RNA, 1445 nt
Organism: Apis dorsata (giant honeybee)
Lineage: Eukaryota; Metazoa; Arthropoda; Insecta; Hymenoptera; Apidae
Exons: 2
Source: RefSeq, a predicted model, not a curated record